RNAcentral lists this ribosomal RNA (388 nucleotides) under uncultured bacterium. RNAcentral's name for it is "bacterial SSU rRNA". It matches the Rfam family "Bacterial small subunit ribosomal RNA", at positions 30 to 419 of the family's 1533-position model. The record is from RNAcentral.
AUUGAACGCUGGCGGCAUGCCUUACACAUGCAAGUCGAACGGCAGCACGGGAGCAAUCCUGGUGGCGAGUGGCGAACGGGUGAGUAAUAUAUCGGAACGUGCCCAGUCGUGGGGAUAACGUAGCGAAAGCUACGCUAAUACCGCAUACGAUCUAUGGAUGAAAGCGGGGGAUCGCAAGACCUCGCGCGAUUGGAGCGGCCGAUAUCAGAUUAGGUAGUUGGUGAGGUAAAGGCUCACCAAGCCGACGAUCUGUAGCUGGUCUGAGAGGACGACCAGCCGCACUGGGACUGAGACACGGCCCAGACUCCUACGGGAGGCAGCAGUGGGGAAUUUUGGACAAUGGGCGCAAGCCUGAUCCAGCAAUGCCGCGUGCAGGAUGAAGGCCUUC